RNAcentral lists this ribosomal RNA (479 nucleotides) under uncultured bacterium. Its description in RNAcentral is "partial 16S ribosomal RNA". It matches the Rfam family "Bacterial small subunit ribosomal RNA", at positions 28 to 507 of the family's 1533-position model. The record is from RNAcentral.
GAUGAACGCUAGCGGGAGGCCUAACACAUGCAAGCCGAGCGGUAGAGUUUCUUCGGAAACUUGAGAGCGGCGCACGGGUGCGUAACACGUGUGCAACCUACCUUUAUCUGGGGGAUAGCCUUUCGAAAGGAGGAUUAAUACCCCAUAAUAUAAUGAUUGGCAUCAAUUAUUAUUGAAAACUCCGGUGGAUAGAGAUGGGCACGCGCAAGAUUAGAUAGUUGGUGAGGUAACGGCUCACCAAGUCAAUGAUCUUUAGGGGUCCUGAGAGGGAGAUCCCCCACACUGGUACUGAGACACGGACCAGACUCCUACGGGAGGCAGCAGUGAGGAAUAUUGGACAAUGGGUGAGAGCCUGAUCCAGCCAUCCCGCGUGAAGGAUGACGGUCCUAUGGAUUGUAAACUUCUUUUGUACAGGGAUAAACCUACCCUCGGGAGGGUAGCUGAAGGUACUGUACGAAUAAGCACCGGCUAACUCCGUG